AAGAUCCAUCAGGCUCCUUGUUGAGAAUGAGUUCUAGGGUAUUAAAGACGUAAUCAGUUAGACCAGCUGGAGGCUUUCUCAUUAAUGCAGUCAAGAGACGGUGGUUUCAAUGAAGAAUAGUAAAGGAGGAGAAAGCUUUUGGGAAUUGGGAACUGAAGACCGACCGAGAAGAAGCAAAUGCUGGCAACGGUCCCAAGAGUAGCUUCAGGAUGAUCCCAGAGGGAAAUCCUGGAGGGUUUGACUAUGAAUAGCUCAGUCUUACUGGAGGAUCUCAAUCUUGCUGGAGGGUCUCAAUUCUACUGGAAAGCUUCAGAGAAAACAGGACUCCUGGAGUCUAUCGCUGAAUAGCUCUCCGGCUUCCUGCCUGGAGAAAACUCUUCUUUGAAAGGACUAAUGUGAUUAGCUCAGGCCCACCCAAAUGAUCUACUAUAAGGCCAAUUGAUUUGAAGCCUUAAUUAUAUCUGCAAAAUCCCUUUUGAUCUGUAACAUAUCCUAAUCACAGGAGUGAAAUUCAUCGUAUUCAAAAAUGGGGAUUAUUCAAGGCAUGUUCACCGGGAAGCAGUAAAUUCUGAGGGUUAUCACAUGGCUAUCUCAAAUCCAUUGUAUAAGAAAGUAUAAUGCUUUGAAUUGUCAUAAGUAUGUAGAGAGUGUUUGGAAAUAUGCAUAAUUUUCUGUGUAAAUCAUUAAAACUAUUGAGUCAAAACAUAUUUCUUAUUUUGAAAUGGUAAAAACAAAUUAACUGAGUUUCUCUAAAGGCAUAAAACACAGGAGUAUCAGAAGAGAAAUUAAAUUUAAAAUUAUGACAAAUAUAGAUUAAUAUAUCAGAUCAAUAAAGCAAUUUACUUGGAAACCUCGCAAAAGUAUAUUCUAUCAUGCUAAGAGCAAUCAGAAUGUAAAGAAUUCAGAUCAAAGAAAAAAUAAACACAUUUUUAAAGAUUUUAGAAACUGUUUAAAAGAAUUCAUGAAUAUGAAAGAUCAACAGAGGCAAACACAUUCCAUGUCAUUAAAAAACAGUUUAAAGGAUUACAGGGACUCUUAAGGUUUAAAGACACACCUUCAAAGCGUUUGGUGAAUAUUCUAAAUGCUACAGGCAAACCGAAUUUACUCCAUUCAAUAAAAAGGAGCGGAGUUCUAU
RNAcentral lists this long non-coding RNA (1135 nucleotides) under Equus caballus (horse). Its description in RNAcentral is "lncRNA (ENSECAG00000046339.1)". The record is from RNAcentral. Lineage: Eukaryota; Metazoa; Chordata; Mammalia; Perissodactyla; Equidae.